Long non-coding RNA from Coffea arabica (coffee), 1048 nucleotides. RefSeq lists it as uncharacterized. NCBI's taxonomy places the organism in Eukaryota, Viridiplantae, Streptophyta, Magnoliopsida, Gentianales, Rubiaceae. The record is from RefSeq and is a predicted model, not a curated record.
GCUUCAAUCUCAACACUUCAUCCUCGCUGGAUCCAUUUCUCCACUGCAGCACUACAUCUUAUAAACUACCGGCUCAUCUCCACAAUAUUCAUUUCAUUACACUAGCUCCCCUCCAUCACAACACCCCACUACCACUUUCUCCUCGGCCACGAACCGAGAGCGAAAAGAGCCUUCCGUUUCUGUCUCUGUCCGUAAGCUUGAGGGAAAGAGAGAGAGACUUGUUGUUUUAUUCGUCUCACCUGCGAGCUGGUGAAGGGGACCGAGAACCAUCACUUUCUUCAUCAACUCCACCGCCUGCAACAGCCAAGCAAAUCAACCAAAUCCCAAGCCCAUCAGUAAGCCGAGAGAAUCUUCAACCAAGAGAGGAAAAAUAUUUCUGGUUCCUCUUUGUUUUAGCUUGCAACCUCAUACCUAACAAACCUUAUUUAACCAAAUCAAAACAGAGAGGGGAACUUGGCUGAUUCAUUUUGAUAGCAGAAACCGUGAGCCAAAAGUGAGAGAGUGAGAGAGAUAGCUUGGCUAGCUUCUUCAUUAGCUAACACUUCUCUGUUCCGUGUGUAAGCUGAGCAAGAGAGGGAGGAACGGUGAGCUGCGCUCUGCACUGACGAGACGAGAGAAAACUUGCAGCCGCUGGUCGCGCAACUUGAGCCUUAAGCCGAGGCGCACACGAGAACCUUCAAGAGGAUCCGACAGAGGACGCUUGAACUUCAAAUUGAACCUAUUGCUCUUGUUGCUAGGUCCUGGCAAAUGGGCCGAUCUGAAACCUAGUUGUAUUUUCUUAUGAAUGUAAUUGAAUCUUAUGACUUCGCUUUGCGGCUUGUAAUGUAUAAUUAUAUUUACAUAGAUCGGAUUGGGAAUAUGUUAAAUUUAGGCGAAUUUUUGUCUUGGAUUGCCACUUGAAGCUGGAAAAGUGUAAAACCUAGACUUGUUAUGUAGCUUAUAUGAAUUUGUUAUUUGGGAUUGUCGGAAUUUAUUCAGUGAUUUGUAAUGCGUAAGGUUUAAGAAUCGAUGAUUAGCUAUCCUAUAAUACUGUUAUCUCUGAAGUUAA